AUGGCGGAUCUCGCCGCCGCGCCGCCGCCGCGCGCGCCCGCCCCGCCGCAGCCGGCGGCGGCCAAGGACCUCUUCGGGGAGACGAUCGAGGCGCACCCGCCGUGGUUCCGGCCGGAGGCCUUCCUGCGCGCGGGCUUCGACCCGGACGCCUACGUCGCCGAGCUGCGCUCCUACGUGCCCCUCGAGAGCCUCGCCGCCGAGCUGCGCUCCCACCUCGCCGCCCUCCGCGCCGAGCUCGUCGGCCUCAUCAACCGCGACUACGCCGACUUCGUCGGCCUCAGCGCCCGCCUCAAGGGCGUCGACGCCGCCGCUGCCCGCAUGCGCGCCCCGCUCGCCGACCUCAGGGACAAGGUCGCCGCCUUCCGCGCCGCCGCCUCCGCCGCGCUCGCCGCCCUCCGCGCAGGGCUCGAGCAGCGCGCCGCGGCGACCCAGGCGCGCGAGCUCCUCGAGCUGCUGCUAGACACCUCCCACGUCGUCUCCAAGGUUGAGAAACUGAUCAAGGAAUUACCAACAGCACCAUCUGAUUCAUCAGAUAUUGAAGAUCGUUCAGUUGAUAAGGGCUACCCUGGCAAUGAUACUACGUCACCAAAUGUGGAGGCAGGGACAGAUGUCAGAGAAACACAAAGCAUUCUGUUAGAAAGAAUCGCAAGCGAGAUGAACCGACUCAAAUUUUACAUCAGCCACGCACAGAACCUUCCUUUUAUUGAGAACAUGGAGAAGAGGGUCCAAGGUGCUACAAAACUACUUGAUGGUAGCUUGGAGCGUUGCUUUGUGGUUGGUCUAGAACAUCGGGACGCAAAAGUAAUAUACAACUGCUUGCGCGCUUAUGCUGCCAUUGACAACACAUCUUCAGCUGAAGAGCUUUUCCGUACAACAGUGGUCUCCCCAUUGAUUCAGAAAAUUGUCCCUCAAAACUAUGCAAAAGCUGUUUCUGGGGUAUCUUCUGAUGACCUGGAGGAUGACUAUGAGCAGAUAAUGCAAUGUGUAGAAAAAGAUUGCAAAUUUAUUUUGGAAAUAUCUUCAUCAGCAAACUCUGGACUUCAUAUUUUUGAUUUUCUGGCCAAUUCAAUACUCAAGGAAGUCCAUUCUGCAAUCAUGAAGGGAAAGCCUGGGGCCUGUUCUCCUGGAAAACCUAAAGAGUUCCUGAGAAACUACAAAGCGAGCUUAAAGUUUCUUGACUUUCUUGAAGGCUACUGUCCUUCCAAGUCUGCUAUAACAAAGUUCCGCUCUGAGCCUGCUUACACAGAUUUCAUGCGACUGUGGCAUGUUAGUGUCUACUUUUCACUGAGAUUCCAGGAAAUUGCUGGUGGUCUUGAUGGUGCUCUUACAGCCACAAUUAGCCCUGUCGGAGUGAAUGAGAACCAAAUGAAGCAGAAGACAUUAUUGUUGAAGCAAAGUAUUAAGCUAUUAGAAAGCUUGCAGUCCUGCUGGAGUGAUGAUGUUCUUGUUUUCUCUCACUCUGAUAAAUUCCUCCGAUUGUCCUUGCAGCUUAUUUCAAGGUAUACAACAUGGCUUUCUUCUGGUCUGGCUGCACGUAAUGCUUCUGAUGGGAGCUCGAGUUCUCCUGCAGAUUCUGAGUGGGCACUCUCUGUACCUGUGGAGGAUUUCAUAUAUGUAAUGCAUGAUGUAAAUGCUGUAAUUGGCGAGCUUUCAGAAUCAGGCGACUUUGUGGGACGUGUGAAUCAAUUGCUAGCAUCAUGCCCCAUUGAAGUACUUACCCUUGUGAAACAAAGUAUAUUGCAAGCUGUUGAGCCUUUGAAGGAGUUGUUGCCUAGCAUAAUGGAUGUCAUGAUUGGGGUCAUAGUGAAAAGGUCUAAUGAGGAUCUGAAACACCUGAAGGGAAUAACAGCCACGUAUAGGAUGACCAAUAAACUUCCCGUGAGGCAUUCUCCGUAUGUAUCUGGGAUUUUGCAUCCACUUAAGGUGUUUCUUGAAGGAGAUCGUGUGCACUAUUUAUCAGAAGAUGAUAAAACUAAGCUGCGCCGUGGUUCGACAGACAAGAUCACGGCAACUUAUUAUGACAUGGUAUCCGAAGUAGUCAAUGUGGCAAGGAAAACUGAAUCUUCGUUGCAAAGACUGCGCCAAGGACAACAGAAACGAAUAGGAGGUAGUACUGAUGCCUCAGAUAACAUCAUAUCUGACACCGACAAGAUCUGCAUGCAGCUAUUCCUUGAUAUUCAGGAAUAUGCGCGGAACCUUCGCACCCUGGGAAUAGACGCGAGAGAAAUCGAAUCCUACAGAUCUCUCUGGCAGUGCGUCGCCCCUAAAGACAAGCAAGAUAGCAUCCAGUUUUGA
This 2295-nucleotide ribosomal RNA is filed under the name Triticum aestivum (bread wheat). RNAcentral's name for it is "partial small subunit ribosomal RNA". The record is from RNAcentral. Lineage: Eukaryota; Viridiplantae; Streptophyta; Magnoliopsida; Poales; Poaceae.